AAGACUCUCGGCAACGGAUAUCUCGGCUCUUGCAUCGAUGAAGAACGUAGCGAGAUGCGAUACUUGGUGUGAAUUGCAGAAUCCCGUGAACCAUCGAGUCUUUGAACGCAAGUUGCGCCCGAAGCCAUUAGGCUGAGGGCACGCCUGCCUGGGUGUUGCACAU
RNAcentral lists this ribosomal RNA (163 nucleotides) under Genista cf. monspessulana AK-2011. RNAcentral's name for it is "5.8S ribosomal RNA". It matches the Rfam family "5.8S ribosomal RNA". From Rfam's summary of the family: 5.8S ribosomal RNA (5.8S rRNA) is a component of the large subunit of the eukaryotic ribosome. It is transcribed by RNA polymerase I as part of the 45S precursor that also contains 18S and 28S rRNA. Functionally, it is thought that 5.8S rRNA may be involved in ribosome translocation. Lineage: Eukaryota; Viridiplantae; Streptophyta; Magnoliopsida; Fabales; Fabaceae. The record is from RNAcentral.